This 301-nucleotide ribosomal RNA is filed under the name uncultured bacterium. RNAcentral's name for it is "partial 16S ribosomal RNA". It matches the Rfam family "Bacterial small subunit ribosomal RNA", at positions 509 to 807 of the family's 1533-position model. The record is from RNAcentral.
CAGUCGCCGCGGGAAUACGGAGGGGGCUAGCGUUGUUCGGAAUUACUGGGCGUAAAGCGCACGUAGGCGGCUUGGUAAGUUAGAGGUGAAAGCCCGGAGCUCAACUCCGGAAUUGCCUUUAAGACUGCCGAGCUAGCAGGUGAGAGAGGUAAGUGGAAUUCCGAGUGUAGAGGUGAAAUUCGUAGAUAUUCGGAAGAACACCAGUGGCGAAGGCGACUGACUGGACAAGUAUUGACGCUGAGGUGCGAAAGCGUGGGGAGCAAACAGGAUUAGAUACCCCUGUAGUCCCUGUCUCUUAUAC